RNAcentral lists this ribosomal RNA (440 nucleotides) under uncultured bacterium. RNAcentral's name for it is "partial 16S ribosomal RNA". It matches the Rfam family "Bacterial small subunit ribosomal RNA", at positions 338 to 795 of the family's 1533-position model. The record is from RNAcentral.
CCUACGGGAGGCAGCAGUGGGGAAUAUUGCACAAUGGGGGAAACCCUGAUGCAGCGACGCCGCGUGAGGGAUGAAGGAUUUCGGUAUGGAAAGCUCUAUCAGCAGGGAAGAAAAUGACGGUACCUGACCAAGAAGCCACGGCUAACUACGUGCCAGCAGCCGCGGUAAUACGUAGGGGGCAAGCGUUAUCCGGAUUUACUGGGUGUAAAGGGAGCGUAGACGGGUGUGCAAGUCAGUUGUGAAAGCCUGGGGCUCAACCCCGGGACUGCAUUUGAAACUGUGAUGCUAGAGUGUCGUAGAGGUAGGCGGAAUUCCUGGUGUAGCGGUGAAAUGCGUAGAUAUUAGGAGGAACACCAGUGGCGAAGGCAGCCUACUAGACGGUGACUGACGUUGAGGCUCGAAAGCGUGGGGAGCAAACAGGAUUAGAUACCCGGGUAGUC